GAUCCUGGCUCGGGAUGAACGCUAGCUACAGGCUUAACACAUGCAAGUCGAGGGGCAGCAUCAUCAAAGCUUGCUUUGAUGGAUGGCGACCGGCGCACGGGUGAGUAACACGUAUCCAACCUGCCGACAACACUGGGAUAGCCUUUCGAAAGAAAGAUUAAUACCGGAUGGUAUAGUUUUCCCGCAUGGGGUGACUAUUAAAGAAUUUCGGUUGUCGAUGGGGAUGCGUUCAAUUAGGCAGUUGGG
Molecule: ribosomal RNA, 246 nt
Filed under: uncultured bacterium
Lineage: Bacteria
Description: partial 16S ribosomal RNA
Rfam family: Bacterial small subunit ribosomal RNA
Source: RNAcentral